Molecule: ribosomal RNA, 253 nt
Filed under: uncultured bacterium
Lineage: Bacteria
Description: partial 16S ribosomal RNA
Rfam family: Bacterial small subunit ribosomal RNA
Source: RNAcentral
UACAGAGGUCCCAAGCGUUGUUCGGAUUCAUUGGGCGUAAAGGGUGCGUAGGCGGCGCGGUAAGUCGGGUGUGAAAUCUCGGAGCUUAACUCCGAAACUGCAUUCGAUACUGCAGUGCUUGAGGACUGGAGAGGAGACUGGAAUUUACGGUGUAGCGGUGAAAUGCGUAGAUAUCGUAAGGAAGACCAGUGGCGAAGGCGGGUCUCUGGGCCGAUACUGACGCUGAGGAGCGAAAGCGUGGGGAGCGAACAGG